Mesocricetus auratus (golden hamster) is the source of this 459-nucleotide long non-coding RNA. RefSeq lists it as uncharacterized. NCBI's taxonomy places the organism in Eukaryota, Metazoa, Chordata, Mammalia, Rodentia, Cricetidae. The record is from RefSeq and is a predicted model, not a curated record. The transcript is spliced from 3 exons.
GGAACUGCAGGUGUGGCAGAGCCCAAGCGGCUGGCGGGGGAGAAACCAAAGUGGCUGGCGGAAGAAAACUACACGCUACAGGGGAUCCCAGCCUCAAGCUUUCACAGCAAGCACUUUGUCCACCGAGACAUCCUGCUAGUCCAGGAAUACAUCUUAAAUGCAUGAUGGGAGUUCCCUGCCGCUAGGAAUCUCUGUAAGAUAAUUUCCAAUGCUGCAUAUGUGUAUAAGGCCUCGGGCCAUCUACACAAAGGUUGAGCUGCCCCAUGUGCUGCUGGAAGCCAGCGUUCUCCUGGAGGCACUGCUUUCUGGGACCCAAUGCUGACCAUUGUUUCACACUGCUGGGUUCUCAGUGUCACCAAUCUCUUCAGGAACAUCAAAACUGCCCUAUCUGGCCCCUGAAUGCACCCAUGACCUGGUGUUCAUGGGUACAGAUGCCCAAUACUGGCUCCCAAAUUUUAA